RNAcentral lists this ribosomal RNA (556 nucleotides) under uncultured Fusobacteriota bacterium. Its description in RNAcentral is "bacterial SSU rRNA". It matches the Rfam family "Bacterial small subunit ribosomal RNA", at positions 163 to 733 of the family's 1533-position model. The record is from RNAcentral. Lineage: Bacteria; Fusobacteriati; Fusobacteriota.
CUAAUACCUGAUAUUAUGAUUUUAGGGCAUCCUAGAAUUAUGAAAGCUAUAUGCGCUGUGAGAGAGCUUUGCGUCCCAUUAGCUAGUUGGAGAGGUAACGGCUCACCAAGGCGAUGAUGGGUAGCCGGCCUGAGAGGGUGAUCGGCCACAAGGGGACUGAGACACGGCCCUUACUCCUACGGGAGGCAGCAGUGGGGAAUAUUGGACAAUGGACCAAGAGUCUGAUCCAGCAAUUCUGUGUGCACGAUGAAGUUUUUCGGAAUGUAAAGUGCUUUCAGUUGGGAAGAAAAAAAUGACGGUACCAACAGAAGAAGUGACGGCUAAAUACGUGCCAGCAGCCGCGGUAAUACGUAUGUCACAAGCGUUAUCCGGAUUUAUUGGGCGUAAAGCGCGUCUAGGUGGUUAUAUAAGUCUGAUGUGAAAAUGCAGGGCUCAACUCUGUAUUGCGUUGGAAACUGUGUAACUAGAGUACUGGAGAGAUAAGCGGAACUACAAGUGUAGAGGUGAAAUUCGUAGAUAUUUGUAGGAAUGCCGAUGGGGAAGCCAGCUUACUGGA